UGCGUAGGCGGAAUAUUAAGUCAGUGGUGAAAUCCUGCGGCUCAACCGAAGAACUGCCAUUGAUACUGAUAUUCUUGAAUGUAGUUGAGGUAGGCGGAAUGUGUAAUGUAGCGGUGAAAUGCUUAGAUAUUACACAGAACACCGAUUGCGAAGGCAGCUUACUAAACUAUGAUUGACGCUGAGGCACGAAAGCGUGGGGAGCGAACAGGAUUAGAUACCCUGGUAGUCC
This 229-nucleotide ribosomal RNA is filed under the name uncultured bacterium. RNAcentral's name for it is "partial 16S ribosomal RNA". It matches the Rfam family "Bacterial small subunit ribosomal RNA", at positions 568 to 796 of the family's 1533-position model. The record is from RNAcentral.